GUGAAGAACGCAGCGAAAUGCGAUACGUAAUGUGAAUUGCAAAUUCAGUGAAUCAUCGAGUCUUUGAACGCACAUUGCGCCCCCUGGUAUUCCGGGGGGCAUGCCUGUCCGAGCGUCAUUGCUGCCCUCAAGCACGGCUUGUGUGUUGGGCCCCGUCCUCCGAUCCCGGGGGACGGGCCCGAAAGGCAGCGGCGGCACCGCGUCCGGUCCUCGAGCGUAUGGGGCUUUGUCACCCGCUCUGUAGGCCCGGCCGGCGCUUGCCGAUCAACCCAAAUUUUUAUCCAGGUUGACCUCGGAUCAGGUAGGGAUACCCGCUGAACUUAAGCAUAUCAAUAAGCGAGGA
This 343-nucleotide unclassified non-coding RNA is filed under the name soil metagenome. Its description in RNAcentral is "partial contains 5.8S ribosomal RNA, internal transcribed spacer 2, and large subunit ribosomal RNA". The stretch from base 2 to 118 matches the Rfam family "5.8S ribosomal RNA", at positions 37 to 154 of the family's 154-position model. The record is from RNAcentral.